Molecule: ribosomal RNA, 253 nt
Filed under: uncultured bacterium
Lineage: Bacteria
Description: partial 16S ribosomal RNA
Rfam family: Bacterial small subunit ribosomal RNA
Source: RNAcentral
UACGAAGGGUGCUAGCGUUGUUCGGAAUUACUGGGCGUAAAGCGUGUGUAGGUGGUCUUCAAAGUCAGGGGUGAAAUCCCGCAGCUUAACUGCGGAAUUGCCUUUGAAACUGGGAGGCUUGAGUCUGUUAGAGGAUAGUGGAAUUUCCAGUGUAGCGGUGAAAUGCGUAGAUAUUGGAAGGAACACCAGUGGCGAAGGCGACUAUCUGGGACAGUACUGACACUAAGACACGAAAGCGUGGGGAGCAAACAGA